GUGUACAGAAGGGAAGAUUUCGGUCGGAAGAUCUGUGCAUGAGUGGCGGACGGGUGAGUAACGCGUGGGCAACCUGGCCUGUACAGGGGGAUAACACUUAGAAAUAGGUGCUAAUACCGCAUAACGGGAGAAGCCGCAUGGCUUUUUCCUAAAACUCCGGUGGUACAGGAUGGGCCCGCGUCUGAUUAGCCAGUUGGCAGGGUAACGGCCUACCAAAGCGACGAUCAGUAGCCGGCCUGAGAGGGCGGACGGCCACACUGGGGCUGAGACACGGCCCAGACUCCUACGGGAGGCAGCAGUGGGGGAUAUUGCACAAUGGGGGAAACCCUGAUGCAGCGACGCCGCGUGGGUGAAGAAGCGCCUCGGCGCGUAAAGCCCUGUCAGCAGGGAAGAAAAUGACGGUACCUGAAGAAGAAGCCCCGGCUAACUACGUGCCAGCAGCCGCGGUAAUACGUAGGGGGCAAGCGUUAUCCGGAUUUACUGGGUGUAAAGGGGGCGCAGACGGCGAUGCAAGCCAGGAGUGAAAGCCCGGGGCCCAACCCCGGGACUGCUCUUGGAACUGCGUGGCUAGAGUGCAGGAGGGGCAGGCGGAAUUCCUGGUGUAGCGGUGAAAUGCGUAGAUAUCAGGAGGAACACCGGUGGCGAAGGCGGCCUGCUGGACUG
This 663-nucleotide ribosomal RNA is filed under the name uncultured bacterium. RNAcentral describes it as "bacterial SSU rRNA". It matches the Rfam family "Bacterial small subunit ribosomal RNA", at positions 61 to 736 of the family's 1533-position model. The record is from RNAcentral.